CAUAAUAUUCAGCAGUACAUAAAUUUUCCUGUAUGCUUCUCCAGAUGCAUAUCAUGCCAUCCAAAACUAAAAACUUUUAGUCAGAAGAAAACCUGUAUACUUGUUGACAUCCAUAUUACAUCCCAUGAGAUAACAAGAACAUUCAAGGACCAAAGAUAUCAUUUAAAGAUUGAGUUAAUCAUUUACUUUAAAGCAAAAUGUCUGUUAUCAUUGGGCAAAGACUGCUAAAAUUGGUGAAAAACACAUUAUUUCCCACUCAAACAUUCAAAUAGUUCUACCUAUGAACAUAAACAUAUAGAGCAGUGACACCUCUUCCUACUGUUCCAUUCCUAAGACAUGGCUUACAGACAAGUAGCAGACAAAGAGAGACUUGAUCUCUUACAUAGGCUACAGUUGUCUCCACAGUCCAAGACACCAGACAUUGUGCUGGAA
This is a long non-coding RNA of Lingula anatina, 432 nucleotides long. The record is from RefSeq and is a predicted model, not a curated record. Lineage: Eukaryota; Metazoa; Brachiopoda; Lingulata; Lingulida; Lingulidae.